GAUAGCUCAACGUAUUAGGCUUCGGGGGAGUACUGCCAGACUGGAACCGGGAGAGGUAAGAGGUACUACAGGGGUAGGAGUGAAAUCUUGUAAUCCCUGUGGGACCACCUGUGGCGAAGGCGUCUUACCAGAACGGGUUCGACGGUGAGGGACGAAAGCUGGGGGCACGAACCGGAUUAGAUACCCGGGUAGUCCCAGCCGUAAACGAUGCUCGCUAGGUGUCAGGCAUGGCGCGACCGUGUCUGGUGCCGCAGGGAAGCCGUGAAGCGAGCCACCUGGGAAGUACGGCCGCAAGGCUGAAACUUAAAGGAAUUGGCGGGGGAGCACAACAACGGGUGGAAGCCUGCGGUUUAAUUGGACUCAACGCCGGACAACUCACCGGGGGCGACAGCAAUAUGUAGGCCAAGCUGAAGACUUUGCCUGAAUCGCUGAGAAGAGGUGCAUGG
This 446-nucleotide ribosomal RNA is filed under the name uncultured archaeon. RNAcentral describes it as "bacterial SSU rRNA". It matches the Rfam family "Archaeal small subunit ribosomal RNA", at positions 553 to 997 of the family's 1478-position model. The record is from RNAcentral.